AUUGAACGCUGGCGGCAGGCCUAACACAUGCAAGUCGAACGGUAGCACAGAGAGCUUGCUCUCGGGUGACGAGUGGCGGACGGGUGAGUAAUGUCUGGGAAACUGCCUGAUGGAGGGGGAUAACUACUGGAAACGGUAGCUAAUACCGCAUAACGUCGCAAGACCAAAAGAGGGGGGGAACCUUCGGGCCGUCCUUGCCAUCAGAUGUGCCCACGAUGGGAUUAG
RNAcentral lists this ribosomal RNA (225 nucleotides) under uncultured bacterium. RNAcentral describes it as "partial 16S ribosomal RNA". It matches the Rfam family "Bacterial small subunit ribosomal RNA", at positions 30 to 244 of the family's 1533-position model. The record is from RNAcentral.